CCAGGAGCCAGGAGCCAGGAGCCAAGAGCAGAGCGCCAGCAUGAACUCGGGGGUCAGCAUGCUGAGGAUCCUCUUCCUCCUGGAUGUAGGAGGAGCUCAAGUGCUGGCAACAGGCAAGCCCCCUGGGGCUGAAAUUGAUUUCAAGUACGCCCUCAUCGGGACUGCUGUGGGUGUUGCCAUAUCUGCUGGCUUCCUGGCCCUGAAGAUCUGCAUGAUUAGGAGGCACUUAUUUGAAGAAGACUCUUCCGACCUGAAAAGCACGCCUGGGGGCCUCAGUGGGUAUCACCCCCAGACUCAUCCUCUGUUGUAUUAGACGGCUCAGUGCAAUGACGGUGCAGUUUUCCAUGGGAUGCUUCUGGGGAGAACAGAGCCUCACCGUCUUUCUGGAAGAUGUGAUUAUGAUCCGUGAAGAUGAGCAGAAGGGGCUGGUCUGGGCCAGGAAGGAGGAGGCUUCCCAGAUACUGGCGUGUGCAUCGCCCGAGGGGCUCAAUAGGCCAUGGGAGUUUGCUUAUCCUGGAGUUUGCUUAUCCUUGUGUAUCCCCACAAAUAAGGGGAGGAAACAGCCUCUUCAUCACAUAGCAGCCAGGCCCCGGAUCUCUCGAGGGCAUCCGUGAAUGAGAGGACCCAGGAGAGGGAGGUGAAAGCUCUAGGGAACGCUCUGCACCUCUUGUCACAGGACCCCCUUCCUAAUGCCCGGCUUUCUCUGUUUAGACACCAUCCUGCUAAAGAAGAGAGCCCCAAGGCAAAACCACAACUUCUCCAAAAGAGAUGCACAGGUGAUUGAGCUGUAGGCAAGCAGUGACAUGAAGAGGUGUUCUAGCCCCGUGGAAAAUGGCCCAUGGUUAACAUCUCAGGAUGUUCUGCAUCCAACACCCAAGGCUGGUAAUGAACUUUCACAUGGACUGAAUAUUGGAGGCAAAUAAUAGAAGGAAUAGAAUAUACAGUGCCUCUGUCCUGAAGGAAAAUAUCAUGCCUCUUCUGGAAGAAGCAGACUGCACAGAGGAAGGAUUGAGCAAUUUAGCCUGCAGUAGAAGAAGGUGGACACCAAAAACUUCACCCUGUGUUGGAGCUGUUCAUGCUUCCAUGAGGGCAUGGUGUCCAUGUCCGUGGAACCUACCACAGAAAAUGGCUCAUGAAAAGGGGAAUCCGACCCAACACACAGCUUCCUACACACUCUCGUCUUAUCAACAGUUAGGCAGUAAUUUGUAGAACGAUUAGCUUCACCCUCUUAGCUGCCAGGAGAUUCCUUCUUAAAGACAGACUAUGUGAAGAUUCGGGAGUCCUGAAACGUGGGGACUCCGGGAUGGUCUCUAGCCCUAUCGAUGAUGAAUGCUGGCCUUCUGGAGGAGAAAUGGCAGUCUGGGCUGGCGUGGUAGGAAGGGCUUUGGUGUUCAUGGAAUGGGCCUGCUGUUCUCAGACCUUCAAAGGAUGGAACCAACGAAGGACCAAAUGAGAAAGCAGAUGCUGUGCCUUGCAGAGGGCCAUGAAUGUCAGUUAUUAUUUUUCUCCUUAUACAAUUAUUUUGUGGUUAUUAUUACAAUGUGCAUGGCUGUUGCAUAAAAGACAUGACUGGUAGAGGCUGAGGAAAGCCACGCCAUUCUACAAUUGCCAUCAGGCUAAGGCCCCAUGAGCAUUUCUCUCCCUUGUAAUAUUAACCCUGUAUUUCUGGGAUCACAUCAUGGAAUAUUCUUUGCCUUUCCACUUUCCAGGAAAUCUCUCAGACUGGGCUGCCCUCCUUGUGUGUGAUGAAAGAUGAGCUAUAUUUCACAACAAAGUGCUGUGUUGUCAUAAUUUGUCUGGACUCCCAGGGCGUCUCUUACCCAACUUGAUAACGAUGCUGUUCAUUAGCAGCCUUUGUUAACUGAUAACCAAGAGCGGUAAUGUGAUACUCAUAAGCAAUUUUCUGUGUGUAGGAUGAAAUAAACCAUCUUGUAUGGGA
Pongo pygmaeus (Bornean orangutan) is the source of this 1939-nucleotide RNA transcript. It is a transcript of the gene named transmembrane protein 273, with no coding region annotated. The record is from RefSeq and is a predicted model, not a curated record. NCBI's taxonomy places the organism in Eukaryota, Metazoa, Chordata, Mammalia, Primates, Hominidae. The transcript has 6 exons.